RNAcentral lists this ribosomal RNA (305 nucleotides) under uncultured bacterium. RNAcentral's name for it is "bacterial SSU rRNA". It matches the Rfam family "Bacterial small subunit ribosomal RNA", at positions 337 to 634 of the family's 1533-position model. The record is from RNAcentral.
GCCUACGGGGGGCAGCAGUAGGGAAUCUUCCACAAUGGGCGAAAGCCUGAUGGAGCAACGCCGCGUGGGUGAAGAAGGUCUUCGGAUCGUAAAACCCUGUUGUUAGAGAAGAAAGUGCGUGAGAGUAACUGUUCACGUUUCGACGGUAUCUAACCAGAAAGCCACGGCUAACUACGUGCCAGCAGCCGCGGUCAUACGUAGGUGGCAAGCGUUAUCCGGAUUUAUUGGGCGUAAAGGGAACGCAGGCGGUCUUUUAAGUCUGAUGUGAAAGCCUUCGGCUUAACCGGAGUAGUGCAUUGGAAACU